GUUGGGUAGGGGAGCGUUCUGUAAGCCUGCGAAGGUGUACUGUGAGGUAUGCUGGAGGUAUCAGAAGUGCGAAUGCUGACAUAAGUAACGAUAAUGCGGGUGAAAAACCCGCACGCCGGAAGACCAAGGGUUCCUGUCCAACGUUAAUCGGGGCAGGGUGAGUCGACCCCUAAGGCGAGGCUGAAAAGCGUAGUCGAUGGGAAACGGGUUAAUAUUCCCGUACUGGUGGUAACUGCGAUGGGGGAACGGAGAAGGCUAGGUUGUCCGGGCGACGGUCGUCCCGGUUCAAGCAGGUAGGCAGAGUGAUUAGGCAAAUCCGGUCACUUAAUGCUGAGAUGUGAUGACGAACCACCAAGGUGGUGAAGCAAUUGAUGCCCCGCUUCCAGGAAAAGCCUCUAAGCUUCAGGUUACCAACAAUCGUACCCCAAACCGACACAGGUGGUCAGGUAGAGAAUACUCAGGCGCUUGAGAGAACUCGGGUGAAGGAACUAGGCAAAAUGGUGCCGUAACUUCGGGAGAAGGCACGCUGGCGGUAGGUAAAGUCCCUCGCGGACAGAGCUGAAGCCAGUCGAAGAUACCAGCUGGCUGCAACUGUUUAUUAAAAACACAGCACUGUGCAAACACGAAAGUGGACGUAUACGGUGUGACGCCUGCCCGGUGCUGGAAGGUUAAUUGAUGGGGUUAGCGCAAGCGAAGCUCCUGAUCGAAGCCCCAGUAAACGGCGGCCGUAACUAUAACGGUCCUAAGGUAGCGAAAUUCCUUGUCGGGUAAGUUCCGACCUGCACGAAUGGCGUAAUGAUGGCCAGGCUGUCUCCACCCGAGACUCAGUGAAAUUGAACUCGCUGUGAAGAUGCAGUGUACCCGCGGCAAGACGGAAAGACCCCGUGAACCUUUACUAUAGCUUGACACUGAACAUUGAGCCUUGAUGUGUAGGAUAGGUGGGAGGCUUUGAAGUGUGGACGCCAGUCUGCAUGGAGCCAACCUUGAAAUACCACCCUUUAACGUUUGAUGUUCUAACCUAGGCCCGUGAUCCGGGUCGGGGACCGUGUCUGGUGGGUAGUUUGACUGGGGCGGUCUCCUCCUAAAGAGUAACGGAGGAGCACGAAGGUUGGCUAAGCAUGGUCGGACAUCAUGCGGUUAGUGCAAAGGCAUAAGCCAGCUUGACUGCGAGAGUGACGGCUCGAGCAGGUACGAAAGUAGGUCUUAGUGAUCCGGUGGUUCUGAAUGGAAGGGCCAUCGCUCAACGGAUAAAAGGUACUCCGGGGAUAACAGGCUGAUACCGCCCAAGAGUUCAUAUCGACGGCGGUGUUUGGCACCUCGAUGUCGGCUCAUCACAUCCUGGGGCUGAAGUAGGUCCCAAGGGUAUGGCUGUUCGCCAUUUAAAGUGGUACGCGAGCUGGGUUUAGAACGUCGUGAGACAGUUCGGUCCCUAUCUGCCGUGGGCGUUGGAAGAUUGAGAGGGGUUGCUCCUAGUACGAGAGGACCGGAGUGAACGCACCACUGGUGUUCGGGUUGUCAUGCCAAUGGCAUUGCCCGGUAGCUAAGUGCGGAAGAGAUAACCGCUGAAAGCAUCUAAGCGGGAAACUUGCCUCGAGAUGAGUCUUCCCUGUCGCUUAAAGCGACCUAAAGGAACGUUUAAGACGAAGACGUUGAUAGGCUGGAUGUGUAAGCGUAGCGAUACGUUGAGCUAACCAGUACUAAUGAACCGUGAGGCUUAACCUGACAACACCGAAGGUGUUU
This 1740-nucleotide ribosomal RNA is filed under the name Proteus mirabilis. RNAcentral describes it as "partial 23S ribosomal RNA". It matches the Rfam family "Bacterial large subunit ribosomal RNA", at positions 1223 to 2925 of the family's 2925-position model. Lineage: Bacteria; Pseudomonadati; Pseudomonadota; Gammaproteobacteria; Enterobacterales; Morganellaceae. The record is from RNAcentral.